RNAcentral lists this transfer RNA (77 nucleotides) under Citrobacter freundii. RNAcentral describes it as "tRNA-Leu". It matches the Rfam family "tRNA", at positions 10 to 71 of the family's 71-position model. From Rfam's summary of the family: Transfer RNA (tRNA) molecules are approximately 80 nucleotides in length. The record is from RNAcentral. RNAcentral also lists the same sequence under 3 other names. Lineage: Bacteria; Pseudomonadati; Pseudomonadota; Gammaproteobacteria; Enterobacterales; Enterobacteriaceae.
GCGGAAUUGGUAGACGCGCUAGCUUCAGGUGUUAGUGUCCUUAGGAUGUGGGGGUUCGAGUCCCCCCCCUCGCACCA